This 2922-nucleotide ribosomal RNA is filed under the name Staphylococcus aureus. Its description in RNAcentral is "23S ribosomal RNA". It matches the Rfam family "Bacterial large subunit ribosomal RNA". The record is from RNAcentral. Lineage: Bacteria; Bacillati; Bacillota; Bacilli; Caryophanales; Staphylococcaceae.
GAUUAAGUUAUUAAGGGCGCACGGUGGAUGCCUUGGCACUAGAAGCCGAUGAAGGACGUUACUAACGACGAUAUGCUUUGGGGAGCUGUAAGUAAGCUUUGAUCCAGAGAUUUCCGAAUGGGGAAACCCAGCAUGAGUUAUGUCAUGUUAUCGAUAUGUGAAUACAUAGCAUAUCAGAAGGCACACCCGGAGAACUGAAACAUCUUAGUACCCGGAGGAAGAGAAAGAAAAUUCGAUUCCCUUAGUAGCGGCGAGCGAAACGGGAAGAGCCCAAACCAACAAGCUUGCUUGUUGGGGUUGUAGGACACUCUAUACGGAGUUACAAAGGACGACAUUAGACGAAUCAUCUGGAAAGAUGAAUCAAAGAAGGUAAUAAUCCUGUAGUCGAAAAUGUUGUCUCUCUUGAGUGGAUCCUGAGUACGACGGAGCACGUGAAAUUCCGUCGGAAUCUGGGAGGACCAUCUCCUAAGGCUAAAUACUCUCUAGUGACCGAUAGUGAACCAGUACCGUGAGGGAAAGGUGAAAAGCACCCCCGGAGGGGAGUGAAAUAGAACCUGAAACCGUGUGCUUACAAGUAGUCAGAGCCCGUUAAUGGGUGAUGGCGUGCCUUUUGUAGAAUGAACCGGCGAGUUACGAUUUGAUGCAAGGUUAAGCAGUAAAUGGAGCCGUAGCGAAAGCGAGUCUGAAUAGGGCGUUUAGUAUUUGGUCGUAGACCCGAAACCAGGUGAUCUACCCUUGGUCAGGUUGAAGUUCAGGUAACACUGAAUGGAGGACCGAACCGACUUACGUUGAAAAGUGAGCGGAUGAACUGAGGGUAGCGGAGAAAUUCCAAUCGAACCUGGAGAUAGCUGGUUCUCUCCGAAAUAGCUUUAGGGCUAGCCUCAAGUGAUGAUUAUUGGAGGUAGAGCACUGUUUGGACGAGGGGCCCCUCUCGGGUUACCGAAUUCAGACAAACUCCGAAUGCCAAUUAAUUUAACUUGGGAGUCAGAACAUGGGUGAUAAGGUCCGUGUUCGAAAGGGAAACAGCCCAGACCACCAGCUAAGGUCCCAAAAUAUAUGUUAAGUGGAAAAGGAUGUGGCGUUGCCCAGACAACUAGGAUGUUGGCUUAGAAGCAGCCAUCAUUUAAAGAGUGCGUAAUAGCUCACUAGUCGAGUGACACUGCGCCGAAAAUGUACCGGGGCUAAACAUAUUACCGAAGCUGUGGAUUGUCCUUUGGACAAUGGUAGGAGAGCGUUCUAAGGGCGUUGAAGCAUGAUCGUAAGGACAUGUGGAGCGCUUAGAAGUGAGAAUGCCGGUGUGAGUAGCGAAAGACGGGUGAGAAUCCCGUCCACCGAUUGACUAAGGUUUCCAGAGGAAGGCUCGUCCGCUCUGGGUUAGUCGGGUCCUAAGCUGAGGCCGACAGGCGUAGGCGAUGGAUAACAGGUUGAUAUUCCUGUACCACCUAUAAUCGUUUUAAUCGAUGGGGGGGACGCAGUAGGAUAGGCGAAGCGUGCGAUUGGAUUGCACGUCUAAGCAGUAAGGCUGAGUAUUAGGCAAAUCCGGUACUCGUUAAGGCUGAGCUGUGAUGGGGAGAAGACAUUGUGUCUUCGAGUCGUUGAUUUCACACUGCCGAGAAAAGCCUCUAGAUAGAAAAUAGGUGCCCGUACCGCAAACCGACACAGGUAGUCAAGAUGAGAAUUCUAAGGUGAGCGAGCGAACUCUCGUUAAGGAACUCGGCAAAAUGACCCCGUAACUUCGGGAGAAGGGGUGCUCUUUAGGGUUAACGCCCAGAAGAGCCGCAGUGAAUAGGCCCAAGCGACUGUUUAUCAAAAACACAGGUCUCUGCUAAACCGUAAGGUGAUGUAUAGGGGCUGACGCCUGCCCGGUGCUGGAAGGUUAAGAGGAGUGGUUAGCUUCUGCGAAGCUACGAAUCGAAGCCCCAGUAAACGGCGGCCGUAACUAUAACGGUCCUAAGGUAGCGAAAUUCCUUGUCGGGUAAGUUCCGACCCGCACGAAAGGCGUAACGAUUUGGGCACUGUCUCAACGAGAGACUCGGUGAAAUCAUAGUACCUGUGAAGAUGCAGGUUACCCGCGACAGGACGGAAAGACCCCGUGGAGCUUUACUGUAGCCUGAUAUUGAAAUUCGGCACAGCUUGUACAGGAUAGGUAGGAGCCUUUGAAACGUGAGCGCUAGCUUACGUGGAGGCGCUGGUGGGAUACUACCCUAGCUGUGUUGGCUUUCUAACCCGCACCACUUAUCGUGGUGGGAGACAGUGUCAGGCGGGCAGUUUGACUGGGGCGGUCGCCUCCUAAAAGGUAACGGAGGCGCUCAAAGGUUCCCUCAGAAUGGUUGGAAAUCAUUCAUAGAGUGUAAAGGCAUAAGGGAGCUUGACUGCGAGACCUACAAGUCGAGCAGGGUCGAAAGACGGACUUAGUGAUCCGGUGGUUCCGCAUGGAAGGGCCAUCGCUCAACGGAUAAAAGCUACCCCGGGGAUAACAGGCUUAUCUCCCCCAAGAGUUCACAUCGACGGGGAGGUUUGGCACCUCGAUGUCGGCUCAUCGCAUCCUGGGGCUGUAGUCGGUCCCAAGGGUUGGGCUGUUCGCCCAUUAAAGCGGUACGCGAGCUGGGUUCAGAACGUCGUGAGACAGUUCGGUCCCUAUCCGUCGUGGGCGUAGGAAAUUUGAGAGGAGCUGUCCUUAGUACGAGAGGACCGGGAUGGACAUACCUCUGGUGUACCAGUUGUCGUGCCAACGGCAUAGCUGGGUAGCUAUGUGUGGACGGGAUAAGUGCUGAAAGCAUCUAAGCAUGAAGCCCCCCUCAAGAUGAGAUUUCCCAACUUCGGUUAUAAGAUCCCUCAAAGAUGAUGAGGUUAAUAGGUUCGAGGUGGAAGCAUGGUGACAUGUGGAGCUGACGAAUACUAAUCGAUCGAAGACUUAAUCAA